This 677-nucleotide long non-coding RNA is filed under the name Cavia porcellus (domestic guinea pig). RNAcentral describes it as "lncRNA (ENSCPOG00000040092.1)". Lineage: Eukaryota; Metazoa; Chordata; Mammalia; Rodentia; Caviidae. The record is from RNAcentral.
GACUCCAGUAUUCACAUGGUUUUAAUUUGUUCACUGCAUGCAGGGUAUUGCAACUUCUCUAAUUAAAGCAAUGAAUGCAGCAGGGUGCAUGAAGCCCAAAUUUCCCUUCUUAAGUAUACGGAGAUCUGCACUGCUCUACAUAGCAUUUCACCUAAAAGCAUUUAAUCCCAGAAGUUCUGAAUAUACAAGAAAGAAGUAUAAGAAGAAGAUGGAACAGUUUAUGGAGAGAUGUGAACUCAUAACAUACCUCAGUGCCAAUAUGACCAGAAAAUACAAGGAACCUCAGUUUAGAGCCAUUGACUUUGAUCACAAACUAUGGACUUUUCUUUCUCUAAGGAAUUUAGACCCAAUUAGUAUAUAGUCUGUUUACUACAAACUGAAUCUCGUGUUACCUCCAAGUGAUAGAGGGAAACUUAAACAAUCAGAUUGAAGACUGACCUUCUCUGCAACACAGCUCCCCGAUAAGUGAUGUUCUAGGGUUGUCUGCUUCAGACAGACUUAGCCUGGCCAACCAAGGCAAGGUUCUCUUUUAUAAGCAUAAAUUUUAAUGUAGUUUUAAAGUUUAUUGCUCUUUGCUUGAAUUUUGUUGCUUAAAAAUAGACAUUCAGAAUUCCAUUAAGGAUAUUUAAAUAAUAUCUAAUAAAUUUAUUAUUUAUUUUCUGUUUUAACACUUUAGU